AUUGAGUGGUAUCCUGGGAAAAAUGUGACACAGAAGAUUCUAAAGAAGAAACCCAAGAAAGGUUCAAAGAACACCAAGCCUAUUACUAAAACUGAAGAGUGCGAGAGCUUCUUCAACUUUUUCAGCCCCCCACAAGUACCUGAUGAUGAUGAGGACAUUGAUGAAGAAGCCGUAUGUUCAAGAUUUAUUGUUUGAUUCACAGAGAGCACACUAUGCUUUGUUCACAAUUCAUACUAAACUUAUUCUUCCAAUCUGUGAUGUAGGCUGAUGAGCUUCAGGGUCAAAUGGAGCAUGAUUAUGACAUUGGGUAAGUGCUGUUCAUCAUCUGCUGAAUUUUUUAAAUGGGAACCAGAGAUCCUUGCCCUGCAUAUAAUUCCAUUCCAUUUCUGCACAUUGAGCUGUAUAUUAUGGCCUAGCAUAGUGCCCCUCUUGCUGAUUUCGUGCUGCUGUUGGAAUUUGACUUGUAGGUCUACCAUAAGGGACAAGAUCAUCCCUCAUGCUGUUUCUUGGUUUACUGGUGAGGCUGUGCAAGCUGAGGAUUUUGAUGAUAUGGAAGAUGGUGACGAGGAUGACGACGAUGAGGAUGAUGAUGAUGAAGAAGAUGACGAGGAGGAUGAGGACGAGGACGAAGACGAUGAUGAAGACGAGGAAGAGCUAAGCAAGCCAACGAAGAAGGUAAUCUUAUCUUGCAGCCAUAGAAGUACCUAUCUCUGCUCUCUGCAACAUCACUCUGUUCAACUGGCCUUG
This 747-nucleotide long non-coding RNA is filed under the name Triticum aestivum (bread wheat). RNAcentral describes it as "long non-coding RNA (TAES_LNC017492)". The record is from RNAcentral. Lineage: Eukaryota; Viridiplantae; Streptophyta; Magnoliopsida; Poales; Poaceae.